UACGUAGGGGGCGAGCGUUGUCCGGAUUCAUUGGGCGUAAAGAGCUCGUAGGCGGCUUAGUAAGUCGGGUGUGAAACCCCCAGGCUCAACCUGGGGACGCCACUCGAUACUGCUAUAGCUAGAGUCCGGUAGGGGACCACGGAAUUCCUGGUGUAGCGGUGAAAUGCGCAGAUAUCAGGAGGAACACCGGUGGCGAAGGCGGUGGUCUGGGCCGGCACUGACGCUGAGGAGCGAAAGCGUGGGGAGCGAACAGG
RNAcentral lists this ribosomal RNA (254 nucleotides) under uncultured Aciditerrimonas sp. RNAcentral's name for it is "partial 16S ribosomal RNA". It matches the Rfam family "Bacterial small subunit ribosomal RNA", at positions 524 to 776 of the family's 1533-position model. The record is from RNAcentral. Lineage: Bacteria; Bacillati; Actinomycetota; Acidimicrobiia; Acidimicrobiales; Acidimicrobiaceae.